Molecule: long non-coding RNA, 34420 nt
Filed under: Musa acuminata (dwarf banana)
Lineage: Eukaryota; Viridiplantae; Streptophyta; Magnoliopsida; Zingiberales; Musaceae
Description: long non-coding RNA (MACU_LNC002954)
Source: RNAcentral
CAAAGAAAACUUAGUGACGACGACAACACGAACUUCACAAUGCAAAAAGGAAAAAGAAGGUUGUCUUUUUUAGGAGGAAGAAAGCCCUUGAAAAGGAAACUAAUUUGCUCGUUCGCAGGCAGCCAUCUGAUUGACUCGGACCACCAUUCUCCCUUUGUUGAUCAAUUCCUACCACCUAAAAGAAGGUGGUAGUACAUUUGUCGACAUUUCCCAAUGCUUCCCAUCUCCACUACUCUUGAACAAUUUGCCGACAGGUGGAUCUUGAUCGAUGAAACACAAGCCUCCUCGCUGACCCCAUUCUCCAAGUGGAAGAAGAGUAGCUGAUGAUGAUGGCCUCAUCACAUCCUAUAGAAAAGCAACAGUUAAACAAACGGCGUUGCUUGCACUACAGUUCAGAAUGAUUGAUUCAUAUGACCGAGAGGGUUCGUGAGAGAGAGAGAGAGAAUCCACCAGAUCUACACAUCUCUCUGCUAAAUGCCCAAUUUAUCAGCCCCACAUAUUAUUCCAUUCAGUCUCUUUCGUCGUCAGCUCACCGGGAGAAGCUAAUGCAUACUUCCAAUUUCAUCGUGUCAUACAUGCACGUCAUUUGAGAUGAUAACAUUUACAACCUCAAACCAAUAGAAGAGGACAACAUCAUUUCGUUUAUACUAGUUUGUUACCAUACGUGAUUCUUUAUAAUGCUAAUUCUCCGAUAUGAAGAAUCAUAGGUUGCCAUUGGAUGGUGUGACGUCGGUGAUCAACAUCGAUCACUUCGUAUCAUUACAUGUCGGUGCUUCGUCAAUCAAAAGCGAAUAUAUCCAUCCUCCUAAACAUGAUUGAUUGAUACAAUUCAAACAAGAUGAUUCAAUAAUAAAACAGUCGUAUAUAUAAACUCUGAGAUCAGGUAACAGUCGUAUCUACUUUUACAGGUCAUGUCCUCUUUCUUCAAGAACAAGGAAGAUUAGAAGGGACACCACCUUCUCAUAUAUGUCAAUAUUUUUGGCAUCGGUUGGUGACGCGUUUUACGUGGAUCUCAUAUAUAUUUUAUUUGGUGGCGGUAGAUAUUAUAAUUGAACUAAGGUAUGUAGGUAGUUUGUUGGUGGGUGUAGAAGCCCGGUUGUUGAACAUCCAUCCAAUCUUCUAUCUCUUUUUCUUCAAUUUUGAUAUACAAACUAAUGCACGUAUAAUUAUUUGAUUGACACUGAUAAAGUCAAACAUUUAUAUUAAUGGUAGUCAUUUGAUGGGAUCAAUACACAUUGGAGAACUUUGCUUCUUAAUAUAUGUAUAUAGUGAAUACUUUUUCUACAUCAUGCAAGUCUUUUGUUGAUCGUACAGGGGGAAAUCCUACCUUGUAAACACCAUCGAUUUCGAUGGUGUAUACAUGCAGGAAGCCUUCAAAAGAACCACAAAGACGGGUCGAAUACCUCAUACAUCAUCGAUUUCGAUGGUUUGGCCCCACUUAAGAACUCCUCAUCAUGUGAUUCAUGUCACCCAUCACAGAAUGAAGUCCCAUUUGUCAUCCUUUCUCGCUGUAUUCUGACACACCGGCCGUACAUCCGGCAAAUGUACGCUAACUCUAACGUGCCUUUUGGCUUUUCAAAAACUUCACAUAAUUUACAAGUCAACCCAUCAUUUAUUUCCAACAACAAAAAAAAAAAGAAGAGUAACAGAAACAGAGAAAAAAAAACAAAAAACAAAAGCAGGAACAUCUCACCUCUCUCCUAUCCCCUCCCCGUCUCUCAACUUCCCUUCGCCUCCAUCAUUAUUACUUUCCGAGAUAAAGACGCCUGAUCCAAUUCCCCUACCCCAUUAAUACCCAAAGACCGCGUUUUGAUCGCCGCAAUCGACCAAACGCAGGUCCAAAGAUCCGACUGCGCGCUUGCUCCAUCGCUUCGCGUCGCCCUCCCUCCGGAGUCUGCACCUCCCGUCUCUCUGCUUAUGCUUCUUCCGACCCCUUGGUUUCAGCUCCCUCGCCCGGGUUUUUCUCUCCCGAGAUUUCUCUUUUCGUGCUGAUGACACCGAAAGCGUCGGACUUGGUGACUGGGGAGCGGGGGAUUCCCCUGCUCUCCUGGCUGCUGCUUGCGUCGUUGCUGUUCUGGAGACUGCAACUUGGAGCGUCGAUCGACGACGACGGUGAGUCCUUCAUUUUUCGUUUGGUUUCCCUGUGUUUAGGGUUUGGUUUUUGUUGGAGUGAGAGUGGGAUUUGAGGUUUUUUUUGGAUGUGUGGUAGCGAGGGCGCUCUUGAGCUUUAAAGCGAACAUGGAGUUCGAUCCGUACGGAGCUUUGGCAGACUGGGAAGAAGCAGAGGAGGUGGAUUCGUGCUUUUGGUUUGGCGUUCAGUGCGACGCAGGAAGAGUCGUAGCUCUGUGAGUAAUACAGUUUUCCUCAAUCAUCUACCUGGUUUGUGUGUCACAGUAUUCUCUUCUCUUAAUGCUUAGAAAUACAACAAUUCUUUGUUCAGAUCGAAACAAAUUUAAUGCUAGAAAUACAUUAUUUUUUUCCCAUAAUUUCAUCAUCAAUAUAAGUUCUGAAAAUUCAGCUGAUGUUGUUAGAAAAACUUGAAAAUUUUUAAAAAUCAUUACACGUAAAUCUAGAGCCAGUGAAAACUGUCCUGUCAAAUCCUUACAGUUAUAUCUGUCCGCAGUAGAAUCUCAAGAAAUUGAUUACGAAUUAAUCAUCAUUUCCUGUUCAAACAGUAGAAUGCAGAAUGAACAUGACUAUGACAUCCAUGCAAGUCAAUAAUAGCAACAUAUAGUUAGGAGCUUGGGAGAUAAGUAGCAUAUGACCCUUCAUGGUGCAUAUGCUUUUCUAUAACGAUGCCUUACUAUAAAACAUGGUGGUCAUUAGUAUAUGAUCUAUCAACUAGUGGUUGGAGUGGUAUAGCGGUCGAGAGGGUAGGCAGCAAGUAGCAGGGAGUGGCAUUGGCUGGCAACGAUGGCGGCAACUGGUGGUGGGCAGUGGUGCGUGGUAGUGGCAGAGCAUCAAAAGUGGUGAUGCUACUGAAUUUUGGCGCUGGAAAGGGCAGUUAUAAGCGACGAUGGCAAGAAGUGGAGGGUGAUCACGGCGAGUGGUUGUAUUGUAAAGGAAGUGUCGAUAGAAAAAUUUGGAAACACAUUACCAAAUGGGGAACAGGCAAAAGCUAUUGUUAUACUUUUCUUUUCUUUUUCAUUCUUGAAAUUAAUUUUUUGGUAACACAUUAGACGGGCCCUAAACCUGUGUUUGAAUUCAGGCAUAGUUCCCAGUACCAGAAAAUAAACUCUGGAUGACAUUCCCUUCCUGUUACCUGCUCUUAUGAUAGGAGUGCUCUUCUAAUAGGGCACUUUUGUUUUGGGCAGGACUGAUUGGCAUGAGGGACAGGCCCUUUUAUGAUAGACUCAAAAUAGAUGCAUUUAUAUACACAACUCCUUAUUUUUAUUGUUUUGUUAUGCUGCUCUGUUUUUAUUAUAUGCGACUCUUAUCUUCCUUGUUAUUCCUAACUAAUGCAAGAGCAUAAAAUUGAAAACAUCCUCCCAUUAUAUUCCUGGCAUAAAGAACAAAACAAUGUCACCCUUAGAAUUAAUUAUAAUUAUUUCAAUUUCUCUAAUAUACAUCCUGUUUUCACAGAAAUUUGAAAGAUCUUUAUCUUAAAGGAAAGCUUGCACCUGAACUUGGAAGGCUUAUUCACUUGAAGUCUCUGUAAGUAUUUUUUAAUUAAUAACGUACACAUGCACCAUUUUGUUCAUCUAACAAGUAAAUGUAGUCAAAGUUGGGAAUAGUGGUUAAAACUGAGGAGAAAGUACAAACAUUUUGUAUUUUCUAGUUGGAAUGGUUGUGAAUCUCAGAGGCUCCCUACCAAUAUAGGGAAACAUGCAAGAAAACUUUAAGAUCAAAUGUCCUUGAUAUAAAUAUUAUUUCUUGUGGUUUGUUUUUAUCAAGGGUCAUGAUUCCCAUGAAGUCAAUGGCCAUAAUGUCCUCCCCCCCUGCUUCUAAUGCAGUCUUGUUUGGUUUAGUUUCCCAUAGGGAAUAAGAUGAAAUUAAUAGAAGAAAUGCGAAACGAAGUUCAUUAUAUCGUAUAUAAAAGUAUUUAUUUGUAAAGCUUCCAUAUCAAGUGUAGUAUUUUGCUAUAAAGAUUUUAUUAAGAAGUUUCUUCUGCUCUGCCUUUGGCUUGUUGUUAAAGCCUUAAGUUAUGGUAUUUUGUAGUUUAAACUGAUAGAUCAAAUCUAGUAGCUCCAUGCUCAGCUGGCUGUUCUUUAAUGGCCAUCAAAUUUCAAAAAUUCUCGAACAUAGGCUUGGUCCAAGUUAUCUAAAUCUUUCACUGCAAGUGAUUCUUUGGAUCCAGAUGGUAAUCCUACAUGGAGCCACCCAACCGGAGCUGAAGGUCCGAUCAUGAGUUAAACAACGUAGGGCUGUUGGAACAUUAUUCUCUUCAAUAUUGACUUAGACUCAUGAAUCCUUCUUGGUUUCUGUCCUCUGAUUUUACAAAAUCCCUUGGUCGAGACCAUCCAAUAGAAUACCCAAUAAAUUUAAUAAUAGUUCCUGUUUAAAGAUACUUUAUUAAUUGGGAAUAUAUCUGAAAUAUUGAACAACCAAAUUAUGCCAUUGACUAAAGAGUUUUUGCAUGCCUUCUUUCUUCCUAAAGUUUUCUUGUACUUGUUUACUCCUGCAGUAUUUUAAAUAAUAACUCAUUUUACGGAGUCAUCCCAGAGGAGUUAUCAGCUUUGCAGAAUCUGGAGGUCUUGGACUUGGGGCACAACAAUCUGACAGGACCACUUCCAACUUUUCUGAGCCAUCUUUUAUCCUUGAGAAUUCUGUGAGUAGAGAGUAGUUUUCGAGUCAAAGCUUUUGCAUUCCGAUGGUGAGAAUGUCAUGUUCAUGGUUUCAUUUUGCAGCAUACUUACAGACAAUGGAUUUGUCGGUAGCAUGUCAUCGGUACUUCAUGAACUCAAUUUUCUUUCGGAGGUUCAGUUUGACGAACACAUGUUAUCAUCAAACAAGGGAUUAAUUACAAGGUAUUGUCUUAUUAAAAAUACAUAAUAUAGGUUGAAGUUACUUUUAAUAACUUGUGUUUUCUGUGAUUGAGUUUUAGGAAAUGAUUUCCUAGUAAAUGAUUAUCGUGUAUCGAACAUUGUUCACACUCAACAAAAGAUUCUUCUCCUUGGAUCAUUCUGUUAUGUCAUCAAGAGUCCAAUGUUUGUUCUUGGAUCAUUUUGUUAUGUCUGCAUUAGUCAUGAGAAACCAUUGUCUCGCAAUGUCUUCAGGGGUAAUGAAAAGUCAUAAUCUUGUUGAUUUUGGUCUCUGAUUUAAGCAUCGCAAUAGCUUGAUUUGGAUUCAUGUGAAUCUUUGAGGAUCAUUUUUUGUGUGAUAUCAUGUACUAAAGAUGAAACUUAUUAGAAGUUUGAAUGUGAGAGAUUGUGAUUGGAAAUCCACUAUGUCAUGAUACGUGAUACAACUACAGUAAAAAAUUUUAUAGUGGAAAUGAGCAUGUUCUUUCUUGUGCUACCUUUCUUUAUAUUGUUUUUCUGUUGUAGAAACCUCAAAAAUGCAACUAUUCGGAGACUUCUGCAACUAGCAAAUCAUUCGCCAGCAGCAGCACCAGCACCGGCAUCAUUGCAUAAUGGCAGGCACCGUAAAAGAAACAAGACUAACAUUGAUAUACGUACUCCUUCAGCUGGACCAUCUUCAUCUUCUGUGCCCCCAGAAAACUCGCACACAUCUUCUAGGUUACCUUUCUUGCACCCAACACAUGCACCGGUAGUUUCACCAUCAGCAUCUGCACCAUCAAUUACCCUCCCAUCAUCUCCAAGUAGCCAUCAUGCGCCUGCUCCUGCACCAGUAAUCGAACCCCCAACAUCAGUACCACAUAAUCAACAUAAAUCUGAUCUUGCCCCAUCCCCUGUCUUCAUUCUAAUUCCACCCCCCAUCAUCAGUCCAGCAGCAGCAGCAAACACACACAAAAAACAUGCAAGAUUGUGGGUAUUGUCGUCGAUAGCCGGUGCUGUUUCAUUUCUACUUGCCAUAUCUGCAGUGUACCUUCUGUGCUGGCGAGCCAACAAGGUCGUAACUAUUAGACCCUGGGCAACAGGCUUAAGUGGCCAAUUGCAGAAAGCAUUUGUGACAGGUAGUUCUUUCAUACUUUCUGUUUGCUGCUAUUUGUGUUUCAUUUAUAUUUUCCCUACCCAAACCCAAAAUAUUGCUCAAACUUGUAGGCGUCCCUGCACUUAAACGGUCCGAACUAGUAGCAGCUUGUGAAGACUUCAGCAAUAUCAUUGGUUCCCUAUCAGGAUGCAUGCUAUACAAGGGGACAUUAUCAAGUGGUGUUGAAAUUGCAGUGAUUUCAACUGUGGUCAAAUCUGCAAAGGAUUGGUCAAAGCAAUCCGAAACUCAAUUUAGGAAAAAGGUGAGCUGCAUUCUACUAGCAUCUCUCAGCAAAAACAUAUUAUAGUGCCUAUGGCAUCCAACUAAUGAAAGUUGGCCAUGUCUAUCAGGUUACAAUGCUUUCCAAACUGAACCACAAGAAUUUUGUGAACCUGCUUGGGUAUUGUGAGGAAAGCGAGCCUUUCAGCAGGAUGAUGGUGUUUGAAUAUGCUCCGAAUGGGACACUUUUUGAACAUCUACAUGGUAACGUUUUUUUUUGUUGUAAAACCUAACAUACACUAGAAAACAUAUUAGUCGAAGAAUAGUUUACUUUUCUUGCUGUAGUUCAAGCUAUAUAGCACAGAUCUCCUGAUUAGCCAUGGCCAGGUUUUCUAUAAUAUCGUCAUUUUGUAGUCUCUCAUAAAACAAUCCUAUUGCUAUUUUUUGGGAUCGCGAGCACUGCUUUCAGGCUUCGGUGUAAUUUGCAGUAAAAGAAGCAGAGCAUUUGGACUGGCGGACGAGGCUGAGGAUUGCCAUGGGAAUAGCAUAUUGUCUAGAGCACAUGCAUCAGCUUAACCCUCCUAUCAUCCUCGGUAGUCUAGACUCAUCUACCAUCUGCUUAACAGAUGAUUAUGCUGCUAAGGUAUCGGACGUGCAAUUCUGGAGUGAAUCAAAAGAUACUGGAUCAGGGUCUGGAAGCUCAAGUCCUUUGUCAGACGCAGAGAGUAUUGUGCAUAGAUUUGGCAUACUCCUAUUAGAGAUAUUAUCAGGCCGGCUUCCAUUCUCAGAGGAGGAUGGUCUACUUGAGCAGUGGGCUUUGUGCUUUCUAAAUGGUGAAAAGCCCUUCAAAGACUUGAUCGACCCGACUCUCAAAUCCUUCGAUGAAGAAACUUGUGAUGCACUGUGCAAAGUAAUAUGCUGCUGCAUUCACCUAGAGGCCAAGGAAAGACCAACAAUGGCAGAGGUCACAAGGCGAAUGAGGGACAUCACAGCAAUGCCACCCGAUGGAGCGACUCCAAAAGUGUCGCCACUGUGGUGGGCUGAGCUCGAGAUUAUAUCUUCGGAAGGGAACUAAAGAAUGGAAGUGGUUAUGUUGUAUUGGCUGUAUGUAUUGAAUGCUUUACCAUGACAUGGAAAUGAGAAAUGUACAGGCAUGGUGUUGUAUUUCCUGCAAAAUGUUCGUUUGCUAGGUGUUUGUGAAAUGUUCACACUUCUGAAGAUUUAAACUGUCUCAUCGUUCAUUGUGCUUAUGGGAAUCCUGUUUGAUACUGUUGUAAUCGUUCAUUGUGAAAUGUAAUCUUUCUUGAGAUUACAGAAGUGUAAAAUGUUCACACUGUUGUGACCUCCUCGAUCGUUCUUCCUAACGAUGAUAAUAUCCUCUUUCAUCGACCUCCGCUUGCCGCCGAUGGACGCCAGCAAAAAGAACUGAUGGAACUUUAUUUUGUAACAUCAUCAAAUCCAACACUAAAUCGAAAACAUAUGCCCGUACAUUGUUUCUACACGAAGAUUCUUCCUAGUGAUUUAGAUGUGCAAAUAGUUUCCUCGUAAGGAGUCAUAUGAUAGGAUUUAAUGAAAAUUAUCUACCGGACUCAAUUGGUUUUAUCUAAAUUGUAUCCUUAUUUUUUUUUUGUUGAGUCAACCUUCUUGAAAUCUCUUAUAAUUCUUUAAAGACCUACAAAUGAGGAGUUAAAGAAAGUAUUUAGCUCAUGAUCCACAAUCAAUCAUUUCAGUAAGCUUUGAACGAUGACACAACAAAGGAUCUAAGGUGAUUCGUCGUAACCAAAAGACCUCAUAAGUGCUCACAUAAUACUAUUGUAGAACACGACAGCAAACCAACUUUAAACACUAUCCCAAAGACCCAUCUAGCCAUGUCUCACUCAGGAAACUCUUAGAUGUUGUGCUUAUUGACACUUCGUACUAAUCUGCGAAGCUAGAAAACCCAAAAAAUGACUACUUGAAUGAUCUAUUUUCGAGUAAUUUUAUCUUUGUGCGAUGAUUGCACAUGACCUAUGUUUACAAACUUAAAACGCUAAAAAAAUAAACCAAAAUAGGGCUGCCAAGCUUAUUAGCUGAUACUUUACACGACUCUAUCGAGCUAAAAAAUCACCAAAAUAACUACAUAGAUAAUCUUGCCUUUGCACGAGUUGAUAUUUUACACUAUUCUAUCGAACUAAAAAAUCACCAAAAUAGUUACUUGGAUAAUCUUAUCUUUGCACAAUGAUUAUACACAAUAUACGUUUAUAAACCUGAAAUGAUCAUAAAAACCAAUCAAAAUGAGAUUGUCAGCAUACUACAAACCCUCUACAUGGUAUAUAAAAUAUAAACAAAAUUAAAAUAUAUAAAUAUAUAUAAAUAUUACAUCAAACAUCUUAUUUAUAACCUUGUACACAAUAUUAUAACAUACACUAAUGAUAUAUAACCACAUAAGAUCAAAUAACCUCAUUCAAAUUAUGAAGGACCUACAAAGCAUACUAUCAAAUGACUAUACAAGCAAACAUAAAUAAAUAAUAAUGAUCGAUCCGUCCAUUCUAAUGCAUUGGCCCUCUUUAAAAACCCAAUCAUUUACUAACUAUUUAUUCUGAUGUUCCAUGAAAAUAAUUCAACUCAACGAACCAUCCUUGCAAAAAAGACUAAAGACAAAUUUCCUAGGCACAGUUGAAUACUGUUCCCUAAUUCUAACAUCUAAGAACCAACCGGAUCUACGAAGACGACAUGCAAAAGUUUCACAAUAAAAAACCAAAUCGAUUUAGCAGAAACAAAGAGUCAGCAAAGAACACAAAGUACAGUCGUAAAAUCUCAGGCAAUUUUAUGCAGCAUAAUUCUUGUUUUCUGACCACAAACUAGUGGAUCAUAAACCAAGUUCAAGCACGACCAUCCAUCAUAUUCUAUCCCCAAGUGGCACAAACACUGCCGAGAACACGAAACAGAUAUGACAUGAGAACAGAACCUAUGGUACACUGCUGAAGACCAAGCGGAAACCUUUUGACCUUGUUAAUCUUAAAAAGCGAAUGUUUGGCUGCGAAAAAUGGAUUCAACUCAUGAAACUAAUACUCGGUAGAUCAUUCCUUUAGUCCAAGUAGCAGUUUCCUUCAGUUGCUCGUUGUCUGAUUGAAAACACUCUCCCAAUAAAUCCAUAUGAAAAGUACAAUCCUUAAACAGGACCUUCGUGUCUGGGCCAAGGGUGUCUGCAAGAUCUCCAAUCACCGCUACAGCAGCUUUAGUUACCUCUUCAUCCCUGGACAGCCACCAGAAAAAAAAGAUAUCAUGUUUAAAUGUCACAAGAAAAUAUGGAUAAAAAUUACAUCAGUGAGCUACACACCUAUUCUUAUCCCUGACAACAGCUUCUAUGAACUUCAAAAGAGGGCUUGCAUAAGGAACCAUCACAGCUGCCGUGGAACGUUUGAACCCCUGAAGUAUACCAGAGUAAGCCUCGAAAAUACCUCGCCUAAGCUGAUUACCAUAUUCUUGCAUAUCAUCAUCAUUUAUAUCCAGUUGAGAGCAGAGCUCCGCAGCUCCUUGCAGCAUUGGCAUCACAUACGGGACAUACUUCUCAAAAUGCUCACCAAUUGCGAGAGCAAUAUCUCCAAAGCAUGAAAAUAUGGGAGGCUUUACAGACCGAUGAAGCACAGGAUUGGAGAGGUCCUUUAGAAGUUGACUCAUGAUACCAUCACAAUAGGGAAGAACCUUGUCAUCCAAAGCACGGCAGAUGUCACCAACAACACCAACCGAAAUUGAGCAGACCUGAUAUUCCUCAAAGUUCUGCAAGCCCAUCUCUAAAUACUUAUAGAACUCCUGCAUGUACGUUGCAAAUUCAGGACCUGUGCCAUAAGCAAGGGCCCCAAUCGCAAGCAUUGCUUCCUCAUGGACGGUUGAACUGCGGCAAGCAAAAACUUGCAGAAAUAAGGUCAUCAUCUGAUCAGCAGAUUGAAGGAUUAUGGACUUCGUCUCAUCUGAAUUACUCAAUUUCUGUAAUAUCACUUGCAGGACGCCACAUAGCAGGGCUUGCACAUCACUUUGCUUUUCCCUGUCCUCUGAAGAUGCGAUUUGGAGCUCCAAAGUCUUGCUUAAUCUAUUCAUGAUUUCAAGAAGGAGAUGGGCAAUCAUGUUUGAGGUCUCAGGUGUACCGCUACAUCGAAUUAUCUCGUUCAAUGUUUCAUAUGCAGAUGAACGAAGCCUGACAUUGCUUGUGUCUGCACGAUCAGCUGUAGAAAGGAGAGCUGAAACAACAUCACCAAGAUAAGGUGUGAGCAUCGAUGAGUUAGAAUCUGCAUCCUCAAAACCCUGGGCAAGAAAAUAAAUGGCCCCGCAAACUUUCUCAGCCACAUUCGGAGAAUCUCUGAUACUUACCAAUAGCACAGACAUGAUACGUGGAAGGUUUGUGGUAGUUAAAACAGGAUACUCGCUGGUCCCAGAAUGCAGGAUCUCAAAUAUCCUACCAAGAGUCCAAGCAGUUGUGUCCUUGACAUGACUAUUUUGGUCCUUCAUUGCGUUCAGCAAGAAGUCAAGUCCAGCUUGAACAAGUGGUGCAAGCUUCUCAGUAGACGGACCUUCAAGAAUUGACCCAAAUGCAAAAGUAGCUGCCUCCCGGCUUCGCCAUUCACCCUUGGUUAUAUUAUUCUCCACAAAGGGCAUCACAAGGGACACAAUUGCAUCACCAACAGUUCUUGCAACAAGUCCAAGACAGGUCCCACCAGCCAUAGACAAAUUCCAAACACCAUCAUCCUGGUCCUGAUCUUCCUCUUGCUUUAGCAGUGUUUCUAACAUCAAUGGCACAAGCAAAGGAAGUGCCUUUUCUACAAAAUUAGAAUGGAGGGAAGAGCUUCCACCUUCAUCUCCCCCAAACUCCUCUUGAAUUUGAAUCUCUUCAUCACAGAUGGAACUCCAAAACUCAAUGGCUUGAAGAGCAACAGGCUCCUCAUCUCCUCUCACAGCAUUUGCAGUCAAAUCAAAGAGGGUCUGCAUGUAAGGCUCUAGGAACUCAUAAUAUGUAGAGGCUAUAGAAACAAGACACUCAAAUGCUGCUUGUCUGAUCUCCAGCUCUUUAGAAAGAGCAGUUUCACAUAUGACUUUCAUGAUGAAGUUCCUCUCUACCUCGUUAUCAAAGUUAGUCUGAGCAAAAUCCAGAGCAUUAUAGAGUGCCUUCACAGCCGCAAGACGAACUUCAGAACUAUGUUCUGCCUGGUUCAUGCCCUGCACAACAGCAGUGAGGACAGAAUUCACUUGAGCCUGCUCCAAAUCCUGAGGAGAAACUUCCUCACAGACAUACCCCAGUGCCUCCAGGGUUGCUUGCUUCAAAGGUGCAGGAGCAUCUAGCCGAGUCAUGUUAUUUAGCAGCUGGCCAAUAAGCUCCUGCCAUUCAUGUCGGGGUAUCUCGAUGGAUGCGACCUUAGCAAUGACUUGCGAAGAAGUGUGUCGCGCUUCAGACACUGUUGAUCCAAGCGUCCGCAACAAGGAUUCCUUGAUUUGAGCUUUGAUGGAUGGAUCCACACUGACCCAUCGCUGAAUUAAUUCUUCCUUACGAACGGUGUCCUUUGCAUCUAGAGAAUUCUUAAGAAUAAUACCAGCAAGUCUUCGAGAUUCAGGAGGCUUUUGUUCGCUCGAUAGCUCGACGGACAGGGAAACUAAGAAAUGGGGAAGACUCUGUUCCUGAAACUGCUUAAGAUUUGCUUCAGCGAGAGUUCGUAUCUGCCCAUCAGGAGAUUGGGCAGACAACAGGAUCUGGGUUAUCUCCAUCGCUGUGUUUAUGAUGCUAGAAAAGGUUACAGAAACCAACAUAUAGAGGAUAUUAGCAAAUCGAAGAAACUUCAUCAACCUAAAACACACUACACAGGAGAACCAUUACCAGAUAAGUACUUGAAUAAAUCUGACUAUCAGAAUGCACCCAUUAACAAUGACAAAUUCUGUAAAUCUGGCAUAUGAAAUUUCCCAUCUAGCACAUUCCACAAACCUUACCAGACAAGUUUCUGUGUUUGUCAAUAAUGAUAUGAACUAUGACAGAUAAAAAAGUAAAUACAAUCACGAAUCCACACCGAAACGACCAAAACCCAAACCUACAUUGAUGUAUAUGCAUACAUGCAUAGCAAUAUUUACUUCAAUAAGCAAAAACAAUCUAACCAAAGAACGUAAAAAGAGAAAAAAGAGGAAAGUGAAGCAGACUGCAGUCGUACAAAUCACAGUAGGCCAACUGCGUUGUCUGUCGCAGUAGGCCAAAACUCACAAGAAACGAAGAGAUUAACUCAAAUGUAAAUUGAAUCUAACAGAUCUAAGGGAGCGACAGAGAUAUCUUAGACCAGGCAUCAUGGGGCGUUACCCUCUAUACUGGUCGGGAUGGAGUAAAGAUGUGCCGCCUCCCGGGAUCGCAGAAAAAGAUCAAGAUCUGACCGAGAUCGCCGCUUCGUUCCCUGCGAUUGGGGACGGGGAAGGAAGGAAGCAGUGGGGAGACUUGGAAGAGGGGAUGGGGUGGGGGGUUUAUGAAGCGGUCACGGGGAGGAAGUGAUCCGAAGGGCGGGAGGACGAAACCCUAAUUAGUUUUGAAAUGCCCUCAGUCGCGUGUGGAUCGCUUAUUGGGUUCGGAUCUAGUUGCUAAAUGGGCUGUUCGUGGACUACAUUUAAGAGCUCAAACAAAAGCCCUCUAAGGCCUGUUAACGAAGCCCGUAAACCCGAUAGACUCGAACCGUAAAUCCGACCCGAAGUCUCCGAAUUUGAUCAUCACCGUGUUCCGUAAGCUUAGUUUUAGUUUUGGAUCCGAUAAGGGAUUAAAUUCAUCUGAUGGAUGGAUCCGAUCCGAUAACAUCCCCUAUUUACCGCUGAACUUAAUAUAUAUAUAGCCUUCAAAAACGUUUCCGUCGUGUUUUCUGGAUCUCGUGUGCAAAUAAGAAAUCUGAAAGUGGGAGAUGUGAAAGAAAAAAGCAUUUUUUGUUGUUUUCGGUUUAAUGUUGUUUUUAAUAUUCGCAGCAAGUUCCGCAAGAAAAUAGUUUUGGUUCCCUUUCGGCUCUCCAAGUGCCAAUCCAGUCUCCGGUCCUCCUGUUCUCUGCUUUCUCCUUCGGCUGUAGGCGUGGAGAGAGGCGGCGGUUGGUCUCAUCAGCAGCAGAUCCGGAGUCCCCGCUAUUGUUUCUCCCUAAUCUGAUUGAAAUCGAGGUGCUUUUGCCAUCGUCGGGAUCCGCCGAGAGGUACAACGCCAUCGUUGAGCUAUAGAUUUGGUAACCGCAUUCUCUCGGUUGUUGAUCGAGUGCGUAACUUCUUUUAUUGGGUUUUCUUGUGUAAAAUUAGCCUCCUUGUUACCAAAAUGUCUGCGCUCAACGAUGGCAGCUCGUCCCCUCGAUCUCAGGUUACCCAUGAACGGGUCGAUCCUCAAUUUUGAACACCACAGUAUGAUCUGUGUUACUAAGCAGGGGAUUGGGGUAUCCUUCUGGUGUGCAGCAUGCCUCUCGUUGUUUCGAGGAUCUCCUGGAGUCUAUUAUUGUGGAUGUGGCGUCGGAGUGCCACCGGAUAGCGAGACUAGGUCUCGACCGGAACCUGGAAGAAGAGGAGGAGGAGCUGAGGCUCUCCGCGCAGGCCCGGGUAGCUGAUCCUGGCAGCAGCGGUGAAUCCAAUAGCAAGAACGUGGUCGAUAUCUUCGGGCAGACGCAUCCCGCCAUCGCCAGCGAGACUUUUAAUUGCAUGAAUUGCGGCAGACCCGUCACGGCCGGACGGUUCGCUCCUCACUUGGAGAAGUGUAUGGGCAAGGUGAGUCAUGUUCUUGAUUUCCCUCAUCUUUUCUUAAAAUAAAAAAAAAAGCUCAUCUUGCUUGAUAAAAAUGGCAUCUUUGUUGACAAAUGCCGUUUUGUUACUGUGUGUUAGUAAUUGAAGUUUAGGUUGAUCUAUACAUGUGUUAACAUUCGAUUCACAAUCUUGCAAUGAGAUGUACGUAAUUGGUCUAUUCCACUGGUUUCUUGGAAGAUUUGAGAGACUAUUUCUAACCACUGGUAUAUUGUAUGUGCUUCAUUUCAGGGACGAAAGGCUUGCACAAAGGCCACCAGGAGCAGUACAAUUGCAAGAAAUAGGCAUUCUCGUGGGAGUCCUGUAACGGUUUAUGCGCCCUAUUCCAAUGCUACCAACAGCAACAGAGUUCCCAAUGGCACCACAGCAGGGGAGGAGUAUACGGAUUACACGUUUGAGGAGCCCUGAUAUCUCUUCCCAAGGUUUUUACAUUUAACCCUUUUAAUAUGUUCAAUGCCAAGAAGAAUUGUCCUUGCUAGUAUGCACUUAGUGUUCCCCGUUGCUCUUACGCAAUUUCUUCAAGGCUUCUUGAACAGCCUCACAUACCAAAGUUAGUUUGAAUGUCCUAAAAGAACUUGAUUCUCGUCUGCAGGUCUUAAUCAUAUGAUUUUAAAUGUCCGUGGUACCAAUGAUAAUCUUUCUUUGCUGUUUCUUUUUAGCUGAAAACUAAAUCAAUUUUCCAAGUAAAGGGAACAUACACAUAAUGUCUUCUCUCGAAGGGAUUUUUUUUUCCUCGGACUGUUAUUGUCUAUUUAGAAUUUGUCUUUGAUCCGUCCAUGAAAAAUUACAAGGGUUGCACCAAGAGAUAUGAUGCAUAAAGAUUAAUGUAGCCUGACAUUGGCUCUAUGAUUAACAGGGUGAACUUUAAUUCUUAAACGCAGUCUGCAGUCGUAUGUGUCAUUGAAGUUGUUAAAAUAAUUAUUUGUUUCUUUUCAUUUAAAGUUGUUCAUAAGGUUGUCUCUUUGUUGCCUAAUUGUUUAGGAUUCAAGACAUGGAAAUACAUUCUGAUUGUAAUGGUAAGGUCCCAAGAGCCUGGUGUGCUGGGCUGCCCUUUUCAGUUUAGCUUGUUGUGUAUAAGUUAUUUGGUCAUUAGUCUAAUUGAACCAUGACAUUUUACCAUGUGAUAUUUAGUCAUUUUUAAUUAUGAUGUUAAAUCAGACAUGACAAACUUAAUUUAAUUUUUAUCACAAUUUAAUUGAUGAGCCAAAAACCUUUGAGAAAAAAAGAUUCUUGCCGGUGCAAUCCUCAAUUCGCAUUUGUGCACAGACACCAAGAAUUAGGUACGUGACAAGGAAGUCACCAAAUUGUAAAUAAUUACUGACCCCUUGGUGAUGAAAUGCAGGUCUUGUUCUUAGCAAGCAAGUCAGAUUGUCAUGAUUAGAUCAUUGUUUAACUUUCAGUAGAUAUAUGUGAUGUCUAAGCAUGGUAAUAUGGUAGUCUUAUCCGAGAAACAUGUAGCGGUCAUGGAAGUAGAGCACAUCACCAAGCUUUAAAAUUUCCCAGAAUCCACAUUGCUCAAAUCCAUGAGUUAUGUUCAAAACUAAUCACAUAUUGACCAGAAUUUUCUUAUGAACUGCAGGUUUAUAUAUCUUUUGUUCAGUUAGAUUAAUUUCUUCAUGUCCCCGACCAAAGUAGAAUACUCUCGAGUUGAAAAGUUCGGUUACAUGAUGAGGUCAGAGUCUAGCUUGCUGUUAUCUCUGCGGUUUGUAUAUCAUGUUCAUUGUCUAGUUAUGCUCAUCUGUAUCUUGUAAUCUAUUUCACCAUGCUUACUGCUUGGAUUUUGGUGCCAAAUCUCAAUUUAUUGUUAAUUGGUAUUAGUGCAUAUUUCAAUUCUCUUUUUCAUCGCAGAAUCCACUCCAAAUCAGGAUGACUUGCCUUCAGCCUCCACCUUGUUCUCAAGUUAAAGUUCUGAAGACUACGAGGUAUACACUAUAGCAGCCAAAAUUGGUGCUUGGUCCGUGGUUUAAAAUGUGAAGAUUUCCAUCGACAUGAAUCUGCGCUACCUGUGUUUCCACUCGGAGCGAAUAGCUUGCGGCUAGUAUCUACAAUUAGAAGGUGGAGUUGGCUAAUGUUUGAUUUUGAGUUUUUUAAGUCCUACUCUCAGUCGGUGUCCCAACACAUGGCACUGUAAUUUACAAAUCAAGACAGACUGAAGAAUUAGUAGACUGAUAAAUACUGAUCGAUACACGUUGGUUCAUUUGGUAUUUUGAACUUUGCUCUGUUGUAGGUUGAUUGCAUGAACUAUUAGACCACGGCAAUUGGAAGACUAGUACAAUAUCGUCACAAAAUUGUUGGACAAAGUUCAUUGAUAAGACUGUUAGUCUUUACUCCUUCACUAGUGAAACAAGGUUGGUAGAUGCAUGUUUUUGAAGAAUGCUUUGACUCAAAGAAGAAGAAGAAGAAGAAGAAGAAGAAGAAGAAGAAGAAGGAGAGAGAGAGAGAGAGAGAGAGAGAGAGAGAGAGAGAGAUGUUGUUGAUAAUUAUUUAAGAUAAUUAAAUAUUAGAGGAAAAUUUUAUUAGCCUGGACACCAUGGGAGAAGGAACAACGACUUCUUGGAGCUUCCAAGAAACACAAUGGACAUUUCAAAAGGUUGGAGAAGAUGAAAACGAUAGAAAGGCUACGCACAACUAAGAAUCCAAUUAUUCCUGGAGUUGGGAGUAGGCUCUCGAUCCACAAACUUGACUUCAAAGCUACAGUAGUUGUUGGUUCCAUUCAAGAAGGUAGUUGAUCUUCUACGUUAAAGAACCAAAACGGGUAGAUGUCUGUCCUUGAUGAUCCCUUGAGUCAAUUAGCAUCAUCCACAAAGGUGGAGGGAGACCAGAGAUGUUACUGAAAUAUCAGUGGCUGGCGUUGAAGUACUAUGAUCUGCCCCUGCUCAGCAUCCUCUUGAGAGAAGAACCAAAGGAAGAAGAAGGAGGAGAAUCUUCUUUGAUGGUGUGGGUUGCUGUUGCGGGACCAAGUGAUGAUGUGUCAGCGCGUACGUCACCCUCGGCUGCUGCAACAUUGACCACACACGACUCUUCGUUCGCAUUCCUCGGUUCGACUUGCACGGCCGCCUCACACUCCACCACCACCACGGGAACGACCACCGAAACAGCGUCCACCACCUGAGCCGGCUCGCCCAUGAUCUCCACCGGCGCCCUACAGAUAGGGCACGUCGCAUGAGACAUCAGCCACAUGUCGAUGCAACCGACGUGAAAGGCAUGCUUGCAUGCCGGAAGAAGCCUGCCGCUGUCGUCCUCUUCCAUGGCGUUCAAGCAAACCACACAUUCCAAUCCAUGCUCGUGCUCCCGGGACUUGUACACGAAGACGGGGAGCGAAGCCACCACCUUGGGAUCGACCCCACUAAUCGAUAGCCUUAUCUCGGUCGUGUGACCGGGGAAUGUGGCCAUGCUUCGGAGAUGGAGAGGCUCCCUGAACACUACUCUCCUGACCACCGGCCGCUGCCUCCUGAUCAGCCACCGAGCGUAGAUGUGGAGAAACAAGACGAAGAAGAUGACGAUGGAUAACAAUAUUACCGCGGCGAGCAUGACCUUGUCAUUGUAAGGGUCGUCGCCGGCGUCUCGACUGCGAGUAACCGGUGCGCUGGCCAUGGCUGCUCCCACCCGCUCGAGUGGAGUAUUCCAAGAAUGGCACGACUACAUGCUGCAGGAAUGGAGGAAGAGCGUGGAGGCUAUGGACAUGAAGAGGGGAUCCUUUAUACAGAAGAACGGGACACUAGCUGGGGGUCAGAGGAGUCGUAGAUGGCGCAUGGAAUUGAGGAGAAGGGGGGCCGUGCAAAUACUGGCUAUUGACUCACGAACGGCGAGAGAGCUCGAGGUUUUGGGAAUGAAGAAGAAGAAGAAGAAGAAGAAGGUGGAGAGGGUGUUGGUUGGUUGGAUGAGUGGUUUGCUGUCGGGGAAGGCACAGGCGGCCAGGUGGCUUGUGGACAUCAUUUUGGGGCUGAGGAUGGGGACGCGGGUCCGAAGUAAGAGUCUCGUGAAGGCGACGGCAGCAUCUUUUUGAUUGCUUUCAUGGGUCGCCACUCUUUGACUCGGCCAAAACGAGACGAGAUCGGCUGCUCUUUCUUCCUCCUUUUUAUUUAUUUUUAAUUUUAUUUCUGGAAAUGCCGGGAGUGCCGUUGAUGUUGGUCGCUCGUCCCAUGUGGUUCUUGCGUAGGUUGGUGUGCCAUCGCCGCCCAGCCGUCUAAGACAUAGGAUCACCAGCAGAAUUGUCCGUGGUUUUUUUGUUACUGAAGAAGGUAGCUGUCGGUCGGAUCCUUAGAUUACCAGCAAAAUAUUGUUAAUUCCGGAUCAGCUUAUUUCAGACUUCCGGGGGAUUUCGUGAAACCAAAAAGUUCUCCGCCUUCGCCCGGUUUCGAUUUAGAAUCCAUCUAGAAAUCAAUUCAUGUUAAAAGAACAAAAACGUAUGAGCCAAAUACGAACUGAUACUGGUAUUCUAAAUGAAAAUUAAAUCUGCAUAAAGAUGCCAGUAAAUAGUGUGUUUGUUUCGGAUGGCAUCCGAUGGAUCACCGUGCUAGCCGCCCCAGCUGGAUGGCAUGGUCAACCCCGACUAUUCUAUCUUCGAUGACUGCACGAUGACAUAAAAUCGUAAGAGAAUAAAUAAAUAAAAAGUUGAAGUGAGACAAAGCUAGAAAAGAUCAAAUGCCUAAAACAAAUAUCAGCAAUAAAGCGUUGCACGAAAAUAAUAUAUGACAUCAAAAGAAUAUAUGACCAAUCAUGCUCAUCCGUAUCUCCGGAUCUCUUUAGCAAAUUCAGUGUCCUCUUUAAUCUGCUCGAGAAAUGCUACCUGCUAUCAGUAUGAAAUACACAGCCUCGUCGCUAAAGAAGCAGAAAGUACACAGGAGAUGUGCAGAUUGCUCUGAAUGAAGAAAUUAGUUAUUUUGUUCGGUGAUAAAUGAUACUAUAAAAAAGUGAUUUGGAGAGGCUUGCUUUCAAGCCAACAUCCACUCUGUAAAAUCAUAAUUACUUAAAACAAAAACAAAAUGGUAGGACCAGCUACAUGCAACCUCCCGGGAAAUGAAUUAAUCCAUUAGCUUGUAUCUCUUCUCUUGAACACCGAUGACGCCCAUUUGUAUCUCAAUUAUUGUGUGAAGUGGAACCUGCACGGGUAUAAAAAAAAAUUUUUAACUAGUCUAAACCUAGUCUGAACUUCAAUGCAAAAGUAUAACCACGGAUGCUUCAUGUGUUUCAGAAAUUUUAAUGAAAACCACUUACUUCAAUGUGAGGAAUUUCUUUCAAUGGUCUGUCAGCAAAAUAUGAAUAUAAUGCUCUCAACACAGCCUAUAAGAUAGGAGUAUCUAAGAAACCAACACUUUCCAAGUAAAACCAUCCAUAAGCAUAGACAAUUAAGCCUUCGUGCAAAUUACCUGGUGAGAAAUGACGACAACUGGUGCACGUUGCCGUUCAAGCUCAAUAAUUACGGGUUCCAACCUGAGCAUGAAAGAUUGUCAAUGCACACAUUUAACAUAUGAUUAUCUGUUGAAAGCACAUAGCAAACAAAAAAUUUAAUAAAAUUAGAUCAGUAGAGCAAACCUUUGAAUGACAUCCAAGUAUGACUCCCCACGAGGGUAUCGAUAUCUGAGCUUGUCCUUCUUACGUGAUCUGAAUUUUAACAUGGAAGAAGUUACAAGACAUUCAAACAAGUGCAUAAAAAUAAAAAAAGAAGAAGUGAUAAGUGAGUCAACUGGUUUUCUUUUAAGUGAAAGGAAACUGUCUCUGAAGGUAUCGGUUAUAAUGAAGAAAGAGGUGAAAAAAUGAGUGAUGAGUUGGAACUUGAUUUCACAUAUUCUGUGAAGAAAAACUCAAUUUCAAUAAAAAAUGGAAGUCGAUUUUGUGGUGUACUAGGACUCUACUCUCUAACUUCAACCAUCUAAGGGAUUUUUCCACCAUCUUACUCCUACUUGGCACUAAAAGAAGGCAGACCAAUGCAUAAGGCUCCCCCACUGGUAGUCAGUAUAUGCUUCCCCAUGAGCGGAGGGAUUGUUUCUUUGAUGCUGUCAAUGGAACCCAGGCCACAAAGAUAUAACUUUACUAUAAUGCAAGGCUCUCCCUCUAAUACCUAGCGGUGUUGAUUUGUCAUAUGAAGCACGUCAACACAGGGAGAGCCAUCCAAAACCACACUAGAGCUUGAUUGCAUAUGGGGUUCAAAUCAAGCCUUCAGAUUUCACACUACUUUUUUUUGUGGCCCAAGAUCAUAUCUGACUUCAGUUCAUGCAGAUUAUACUCGGGACAUUGAAACUUGUCAGUUCAUAUGAUGCAUACUCAUAUUCCUCAGGCAUGUUUUUCUUUAUUUCUUCGUAAGUCAUUCCAUCACAUACUCCGGCAUUUAUCUCUUCAAGGGCACGCCAUUGUAUCUAUAAGUAAUAACAAUAACAUUAAACUGAUCACAUUUUGAGCAAGUGAGAUGAAAAUCCAAGCAUCAGAAGAUACCUUUGGGAAUCCAACAAUUGGACUUGCAGUUAAUAUAGUUCUUUGAAGUGUGCUAGUCCAUAUCUAAGACAUUUGAAGAAAGAAAAGGACUUAUAUGAAUAAGAUAGAGCAACAAGCUAUGUGACUAUUCAUCUAAGUACAUGGUUCCAAAAGUGGAAAUUGUUAGACACAUCAUAGGAAACAUGAAACUAAUGGAUCCAUGACGUCAUUCACAGAACAAAAAUGAAUAACUUUUUAAGAGAUGAACAGUUGCUUCUUGCAGAGGAAUUUAAUGCCUUAGAAUUCUAAUAUGAUCUCAAAUAAAUAAUGUUGUAUGAUCGUAUCUUUAAUUUCAUCUAAAAAUUGAUGACAGAUCAUAUUAAUAUAUUUUUUACCUGAAUAAAUUUUAUUAGUUUAGCAGGUAUUUUACAAAUGUCAUAAGUUGUCAAAUGACUAUUUUACCUAAUCCUACAUCAGUUACCCAUAUCAUCAAAGAAAGAAAAAGAAAGUCAGCUAAAAGACAAGGAAAAAGUUAAAGCUUGAUAGAAACCAACAAUAUCUACGAACAAAGAAGCAAUUCAGAAAGUUAAGCAAUAUAAAGGUUCAGGUAGGAAAAAAAUCUAACUAUGCUGAAUGAGAAAAGAAUGUGCACUAAAGUCCACAAAUGAUUUUCUUACGGAAGCUGUCCUCUCAGACUUCAGUCUCUUCUCAACAAAAUUUGCAAGUUUCUUUGAAUAAAGUUCACCGGCUUCACUGCUCAAAAGUUGAAACAAAUCAAAUUCACAGCCCUUUAUCUUGAAGAACAAAAGUUUGAAGAAGAUCGUGCAUAAAGUACAUGAUCGAAUGUCUGAGUGCUAGAAUAUCUACAAACUAGAGUUGAUCCUUAUGCACAUAGCUACAAGCAUAUAAUUUCGUAACUUGUCUCUGGGUCAAAUAUGAAUAACAUACAAUUAUUAUAAACAACGUGAGCAGACGAUCAAAAUAACAUUAUAAAUUUACAAUAUUUCUUAUAAUGAAUAGAAAUGCAAGAACGAACAUAUGGUUGAGCACUUCUUAUCAGAGACACAUUAUUUAAUAGAACUAUUACCACAUCAUGAUCAUAGGCACUGCAACAUGAAAAGUACAACCUUCUAGGCAAAGAUUUCUGCACACACCAAGCUCAAGGCUGACCAGAGAUAGUUGAUAUGUACAAAAUGUUGUUAUUUUUUCAUUGUAAAUAACGAAAUAAUAGAAAAGUUCACUUUUCAUUAAGAUGCAAGAGUUCGUUGACUAAUACCACCAGGACGUCUAACACAGAAGAUGCUUUAUUAAGCAUGUAAUUUCAAGAUUAAAAUUCUAAAUACAGUAGAUUUGGCAAUAUUAAAAAGCUCAAGAGAGCAAACCUUAAAACUGCAUCACCUCCAAUUCUUCCUCUAACAUUAUCUCGACUUUCACCAUGCCGUGUAAGGAGAAUAGGCCGGGGUGUUAGAUGAGUAUUCACCUGCAAUUUAAGUCUGGAUACCAUGACACUCGACAAUGGCUUUUCUAAAAAAUUGUAACUAUUGUUGGUUACUCAUGACUUUUAAAAAUAUUAAAAAAUGGUUUAAGUUUGGUCUAUGGGUGGUUUAGGCAUACUCCUGUACUUAAUUCUAUGACAUUGUCAACUUAUACAAAACACAAAAUAAUGAACAUAACUUCAACAUUUUGGGUGGGUCAUUCCCUUCCUCCUCUCACAUAUAGAUAGAGAAUACAUAUUGUCAGCGGCAGACAGUUUUGUACAUUGCUAUAACCAUAAUAUUAACAAAGAGCAGAUGAUGUUUGAACCAUCAAUUCUAUGGAAAAAAUAAUGAACAAAUUGUGUAUGAUACAAUUUAGAUAUUCGCAUAUGUACCAGGAAGAAGACAAUUCGGCCAGGAAGAUAACCACUGAUGUUGUUAACCUGAAUAAAAGAUUCAAGUCAUCAGGGAAUGAUGGUCAACUAAAAAUUUAAAAAAUAUAAUUAAAUUUCAAUUGAAAAUAAAAACCUUAGUACAUUACAUCAAAGUUGAGCGAUAAUGAAAACAUUAUUAGAAACGCAUAAAAGUCAUUCACCCAAGAUGUACUGUCUGUGAGGCUUACAACUUUUUGGUAUACAACAGUACCCAAACCAAGUAUACUCUGAUGGAGCUUGUUAAAUACUAAUCAAUUUAGGUAAAAAUACAGCUAUAAGUUACAGUGUCUCUUGCUAAUGCCGACAAUCUAAAAUGGCUAAGAUUUUGUCCUUCGCAUGGGCUAUUGCCAAUGGUCUUUGGAAAGAGCAUUAUUUUCCCUUGCAAUUUUAUGAUGGAUGGUGAGCAAUUUAGUCAUUUUAAGGUAAAAUAGAAUUUUAAAUAUGUCAAGCAAUAUCAUUAAUGUGGGUGACCAUGCCGAGGCAGGUACCAUCAGAGCUGGCACCUUGCGACUGAUGGAUCUGUUUGUUCGAAGCAAUGACAACCACAUGCUUUGAAGCCUAAUGUUCACUGGCAUAAUAUGUUGUGAUAAACCAAUCCUUAAACCGAAAAAAAGGGUGUAACUCAGGUAAAGGGAAAUAUAUCUAAGCAACACAAAAUGAUAACAAAAAUAAGAGAAAGGAGAACUAUAUAUAACUCACUUGUAUCUGCCCACCUUGUCCACUGACCAUGUCAAUCAUUUUGAUAUAAGAACCCUCUUCCACUGGUUCAUAUGCCUAUAAACGAGUAUAUAUCAUCCAUUUUGGAUUUAACGAGCAUAUGAACAAAAAGAUGCUACCUGCUAAAUGUAGGUAGAACAAAGGGUAUUUGCUUGGGAACCUUUUCAUAAUUGGCUAAGCGUUCUUUAAAGUCUAGCAUUCCAGCUUGAAAAUCUGGUCUGCAGAGUAAUAACGGAACCCAUUUAACCUGAGGCAUAUGGACAUAAAUCUACCUAAAAAAAAAUGUAAAACACUCACUCUUCUGCAUAAUCAGGGCUUUGUUGAAUUUUCAGCCGUAUAUUUCUUUCUAUUAUAUGUUCAUCAUUGCAAAUUGUUUCCAAAAAUAUGAUCUGCAACACAGAUUUGAGCAAUCAAAUAAAAAUCAAUUUAAUAUAUUUUAUUAGAAGACAGAAAAAGUAAUAUAAAGUACAAAGCUUGUGGAGGAUAUAUAUAUAUAUUCUCUUCGUUUUAAAAACCACAUAUGAUUGGUGAAAUGAAAGGAUCAAGAAUUGUCGAAAUGGUGAAAAAAGCCUUCUGGUUAUAAGUUCCAAUAGAAUAUAUUCACCCUGUCAUUAGUGAAAAUGAAAAAUAAAAAAGAAAACUACAUAGAAAUGAAAGAACAAACACAUUAUUUGCAUUGAGAAACAGGUCAACAACAAUAAUUUAACUGCAUUGGCUUCUGUAUAAGCUCUAAUCACCAGGAUGAAAAAAAUUCUCAAUUGGGAACCAGGCAAACCUUGUUGAUGCCAUUAUCAAUCAUCAUAUAUAGUACUGGCAUGUUAAUGCAAGGGGCAUGGAAAAUAAAAAUUGAAGUUGGAAUAAUCUGUACAUACAAAUGAGAUAAUCAAAAAAUCAGUAUUUACCUUGAAAAUGGUAGAUUGAGAAUUAAUUAUACACGAUGAUGGAAGAUAGAUUUAUGAACUGCAGGGCCCAUGAUGGCAACAAGCUAGUUGAUAUACACCAUCCUUGUUUAUGAUGUUACAAUGACAUACAUGCCGGAUAUAUUAUGAAUUCUUUCUAAGAGCUGAGGUCCUUCACAGUUCACAUUUAAAGAUUUCAAAGCAAUGCCUAAAAUCUACCAAGAUUUAAAUCAUGUCAACUAUACAACUAUCACUUUUAAGAUACCUAGCAUUUGACAAGCAACUUAAAUUAGGAUAUAAGAGAAAUAAACUGAUUUUUAAGUUGAACAUAAGAAUAUCACCAGAAAUGCCAAAUGCACAUGCUAAAAGUUCUAAGAUAAGGCCAGAUUUAAUUCUUGUGAAUAUCCAAUGAGAACUUCAAUCUUUGUAGCUCAAGGUUCUUCCUUGGCAAGAGCAAAUUUUGACCCCUAGAAGCAGAGGUCAAAUAUGAAAACUCAAGAGGGCAGAAGUAAUGAUGACAGCAAGAGUAGCAGACAAACAGUACCUUACAUUUUCCUUCAGCCAUUUUCAUGAGCAUAUUUCUUCGUUUUCUGGUGCUAUUUGUGGCAUCAAAAAUACCAACCUAUGGUACAACCAGAAACAUAAGAGCCAAUUAUCCCACUGCCACUUUAUCACUAUAACAAGUAACACUAUACCUGACCUCCUUCCUGCAUCCAGGCUAUCAUAUCCUCCAUGGCUAAAGCAGCAACCUAGAGACAUUGAAUAACAGGAAGGUACACAGGCAAAGUAAGUCAUGUAGUUGAAGUUAUUUGCUUCAGCAAAAAGUUCGAUAAAGUUAGGGGAGAUUUCUCUACAACCGGUAUAUACACUCAAGCUUGUCGAAUCAAAAGUGCAACUAAAAGGCUAUAUACAGCAAUAAGAUAAUUUAAUUAUUGGUACACCAAUCUUAAAUUUUUAGCUGAAAUAUUUGAAAGCAAAACCACAAGCAUAUGGGACAACAUUUGAAUAAGUUCAGUACUGUUGUAACCAGAUAGUGAAAAUUAAACAAGCAGCAGCUUGGAUCGCUUGUUGCUAACCUCAUUGCGAGCCUCCAAACCUUCGGGAUUGUCCCCACGAAAAAAAUCAGCAGACUGCAUAAUGAAUCGUUCAAAUUUAUAAAGCAUCACGGAGAAAAAGAAUAUGAACAAAUUUUGAGAGGAAAAAUGGUACUAAAUGACAAACCUGAAAAUCAGAUCAGAGAAUUAAAUCGAAUUUAAACUUCAGGGAAAAACUAUUAUCGAUAUUAGUUGAACAUAGAAAUAAAUUUUAUCGGGCAUAUUAACAUCUUUCAAAUAAAUACCCAUGGUGGAUCAUGUAGCACAAGUCAAGUUCCACCUAAUUGAAUAGUACCACGCAAGCAGAUCUGAAAAUAACAUCAAGAAUGACAAGAAAAUCAUCAUCACGCUACAAUGAAAUUCAACUAAGUAAAUCAUCACCAUGUUAGUAUUUUAAUUUACUCAAUUUUGGUGAACAGGAUCACAAGUUUUCCCUUUAAUAUAAGAAAUCAUGUCAUAUCACAUAACACAGGCCGAAACUUGAUGACCUGUAACCUAUAUCAAUAUUGAGUCAUGCAUGUCUAUGACCAUGCAUAGAUAAAGACUCGCAAGACUAUUAACAAAUAGGAGAAAGAUAAACUCUUUUCUGCUGCUGCUUGAUCACCCAAAACAGUGGUUUACUUCAAAUCUGAGUAUACCAGCAGUAAGCACAAUGGAUGUAACUUAUCCAAUUAAAAUUUUCUGAUAACAGAUUGGCAAGACUAUCAAUGAAUUUCAGAAUAAAAAAUGAAAAAUAUCAACCAAUUUUAGGAGCAUGGAAACAGGAAUGUCGUUUUGCUAGACCCCUGUUUCUGGUGGUCUGGUCUGCCCAUAUAGAAAAAAGGCAUUUGCUUGUGUGCCUCUGCCCUAAUCACAUCUCGCAUUCAUGCAGGACCAGUGCGAAAUCCUAUAGAGCACGCCAUCGUCACCUACCAGGUACGUCUUCUCUUCCACUUCCUCUUAUACCUCCUUCCUCUUCUUCCUUCUCGUUCCUCUUCCUCCACUACCUCCUCUCCUUCUUACUCUUUCUCAUUCCUCCUCUUCCUUCACUACCUACCAGGUACAGCACUCAUGCAGGACCCAUUGAUAAAAAGUUUGAUAAAAUAAUAGUUCUACUGAAAAGACAUAAUGUUAAUUGUGAAAUAUAAGAUUUCUAAUUUAAAAGUUAUAUGGUUAUAUAUAUAUAUAUAUAUAUAUAUAUAUAUAUAUAUAUAUAUAUAUAUAUAUAUAUAUAUAUAUAUAUAUANNNNNNNNNNNNNNNNNNNNNNNNNNNNNNNNNNNNNNNNNNNNNNNNNNNNNNNNNNNNNNNNNNNNNNNNNNNNNNNNNNNNNNNNNNNNNNNNNNNNNNNNNNNNNNNNNNNNNNNNNNNNNNNNNNNNNNNNNNNNNNNNNNNNNNNNNNNNNNNNNNNNNNNNNNNNNNNNNNNNNNNNNNNNNNNNNNNNNNNNNNNNNNNNNNNNNNNNNNNNNNNNNNNNNNNNNNNNNNNNNNAGGGAAGAAAGAUAAAACUUAAGCAUAAAUACCUAGUCAACUUCACUAUUGGAAAAUAUUAUAUCCAUAACUGAAACAGCAGCAACACCUUAGUUAUCAAAUGCAUGUUUAUAAUUGUUCCGCAAGAUAAAGCUACCAAAUAUAUACUGGAAGGAAAGGCAGAUCCAAAUGCAAUAAACAUGGCAAAUAAUUUUAUAUGAGCCUUGUAUUAUGUGAAAAAUGCCUUGAUAAACAUUUAAAAGUAGACCACCACUCAUUUACUGUACCUGAUUUGUUCCAAGCUUAAGGCGGCGAUACUGUUAGCCAAGUAACACAACACAAGCAGUUAGUAUUAUAAACUGGAUCAACAAUAAAUUUAAUUGGCUUUGUGAACAGGCAGUAUGUAAAAAGUUACAGUCUUCACCUUUCCAACAUUGAAAUGCUUGGUUUCAUGACCUAACCAUCGCAGGUAUCUAGUGAGUUUGGCUGCAGUGAAGGUUUUUCCCCGGGCUGGCAGACCAACCUGUAGCAUCACAACAUAACAAAUAGAACAAAGUAUUGGCAAUAGCAAUUAAAGAAAAAAUAUUAACCGUAUAUGAAUGGUGAAAGCUGAAAGAGGUGCUGCAUAUAACCAUAAGUUAUAGGAUAAAUAGCUUUAACUAAAUUAAACUGGUGGCUCCAUGUCAUUGAAUAGUUUCAAUAAAAUGUAAACAAGGAUGUGAUGGCUUGAGUUUUAUAUAUUUGUUUUGUGCGUUUGUCAAUAUUCAGUCACCUAAAUGAUAUUGUAUACCGUGAAUAUGGAGAAUACAUGAAACAGCAUACACUGUUUAAGCAAAUACUUCCACAGUAAAAGAAAAUAAGUUUCAUUUUAUAUGUCAUUACCAACACAAUGGCCAACCUACUAUCCUCCUUUGGUCCAAGCAUCUGAUCAGCAACAGCUGCGGCUGCAACUGCUCCAGCUGCGGCUGGCAUGCCCUUCUACCAAUUAAUAAAAAAGAUAUGUAAAAACAUCAGAUGUGUAGUAAAAUAAGCAGCAGUGUCUUCUGGACUAGAGGAAAAACAAAUUUUAACAUGUCUAUAUUCUGUACAGAACUGUUUGAUCGAAUAGUUAAAAGAAAUUCAUGAAAAACAAUUAAAGAGUUUUUCUACUGCUUAAUUAAAGCAUCACAAUAAAAGAACUCUGAGAUUCAUUCCCACAAGACAUUAUCCUGGUGGUCUGUGGUUCAACUUUCCAAACAAUGUGCUUGGGCACCCCCGUGCACAGGGCAGCAUCAUUAAAAUUCACAUCUUGCUGUUUGUUUGUGUGUUUGUUGAUAGUGUAACAAAUUCUUACUGUAGGACAGCACGUAGCCAUUGGACUACUUUGAUAGAUAAACAGCAAAUUAAGUUGUCCGCAAUCAAGAAAAGAAAGAAAAAGAAAUAAUAAAUGGACACUAUAAUUACAGUAAAGGCACUCACCUAGAGUAGGCUUUUACAGAUCAAAAUGAAAAAUGAGCUAAAGGGAACAAAUGGAUGAACUAAUCGUAAACAGAACUGUUAGGUACAACCAAUAGAAUCAUGCAGGAAACUGACAGUUGAUAUUUUUUUCAAAUGACCAGUCAACAAGAAGAUUCUGUCUGCUUGAACAAACCUUUGUUUCAGAGUCCAACUUGAGAUCAAAUGUGAAUGCACCUGCACUAGCUGAUUUAACAAGUCUAGGGGAGCCAACACCCCUAUCGACAAAGAGUCCUUUUUGACCAUCUUGCUUUGGCAAUGGUGAAAAUGUGCCAACUGACUUCGACUCAACCAUACCAGGAGCUGGAGGACAUUUGGGAUGAUCUGAGUCUGGAUCCAAGACUGUAGUAUCCAGAUCCUGAGCAAGCAUACAGGAGAAUGAUAGUUGUUACCAGCAAUAAGGUGAAAGUACAUGUCGACGUCAAGCAUAUUAUCAAGCAGAAUAUCUAUGUAACGGAGGCAAUUAAAAGCUUGCAAAUGAGAAAAAGGUUGACGUAAGAGGAAAACAAAAUUUGAUCAAGAUCAUCAAAAUAUCAAAAAAACAAGUAAUAAUAACUGGACAGUGCAUCAUAAAUAAAUUAAACAAUAUUUUUGCACUUGACCUAUGACAAGAAAGCCAAUGGAAGCAAUAAUGUGCAAUUAUAAAUACAGGCUAUAAAUUUAUUUAAGCUGUUUAGGUUUCUGAUGCAAGACCUCAGAACUACAAGAAGAGUUGCAAGCAAGUACCUUACAGCUAAUAGAAUAGUCAAGUGAAAAGACACCAGCUUUACUUGAGCCAUAUGAACUACCACUUAGGGCAUCAUUCUUAGAGAAAAUUCCAGCAGUAGGCAAUGAUCUUGGUGUCUCCGUCAAAUUAGCUGCAUAAACAACACCAGCACUAGCAGAUGGUGCUGGAACAACAUAAUGUUCUAAAUCAAGCUCCAAAGGAGAUGCUGGCCCAAUCUGCUGGGAAAGAUGACAAAUAUGAAAAUUGCAGCAAUGAAAAAACAUUCACAAUCAGCAUAUAGCAGAAAUUAGACAAGGUUGAAAAUAACAGGGUUAGACUCUAUUUAAGGUUCGAGAGACCCAAAUGCAGUGUCCAUACAGAAAUGACUAUAAUCACUACUAAGCAGGACGAAUUGUAAGUCUUACAAUUUCUAGUUUUCCACUCGGCAAUUGCUUUUUCUCCCUAUAAAAGAUAUCACAUUGUAAACGAUAUUAUCAUAAACAUCCAAGCCCUUUGCCAGUGCAUUGUUUCGUUGAAUAGCAAGGUCACAAGUCAAAACCAGUCUCCAUGAAGAUCAUUCACAAAAAAUAUUCUGUCAACAAAAGGUGCCUAGAAACUCAGCUCAUGCCUAGCGGUCAUAAUAGGUACAUGUCCAGAAGCCUUCCAUCUAUAAGACUUCUUAUUUCUUAUUCAUUCAUCAUCUACAAUUUACAUACAUUUUGCUUAUUGUUCUACUAGGUAUCCCAGUUCUACCCUCAUCACUUUUCUGCUUUACAAACUGAGAAACUCGCCAUACUACAUAUAAUCAAAUAAAGUUGUUGUGAAGCUGCAGAAAGCAACUUUCAUACAAGCAAGUUCUAAUGUUUUCUUUUGAGUGAAUUACAUUCUACAUACCCAAUGAAUGUCUUGACAACCUUUUAGCUGAAGAGACUUACCGUUCUACUGCAUAAUCCUACAAAUAUGAUGUUCUAAAAAGAUAAGCAAAAGGCAUCAAUCUCGACCCUGCAAGUUCCAGGAGUACCUCCAAACCCGUAUUUGGCGCCACAUUAAUACUGACAUCCGGAAUCCCUCGCACCCUUGACGGCUGGAGAUUCUCCUGAUAGGCCCGCCAACUGGCGGCAAGAUCAAACGGGGACACAAUGUCGGCCUUGAUGAACACCUUAUACUCAAGAACCUCUUCGUCCCCACCUAUCUUGAACAGCGCCGACCUGGCGUCGCCCUCCUCCAGCGUCCCUCCCGUAAGCAGCCGGCUCGGCCCCUCCUCCACCACGCACGGCGCGUUACUGUACUUGGGCUUCAACAAGAACUUGAAGUCCAGCGUCUCUAAACAACAAGAAAAAGCCCACGCGACAAAACAAACGCAAUAAGAAAACAUGAUCGCGGAGGCAAUCGGAUCCAAAAAUCGAGGGGGAGGCUCGCUCAUACCGUGAUCGGGUGACACGACGAAGCUGAGCUCCCACAUCGAAGCAGACUCGCGCGCCAUCGAGAGCUGAGGGGUCAAUCCAACGUCAAGAUGCGUCAGAAUUGAUCGAGAAAGAGAGGAGGGGGAUCAAUGAUCUUACGGCUUUGGAGAAGUCCCAAGAUCCUGUGAUGGGAACGGAGCCGUAGACGUGGGGGAUGAGGUCGCGUCGGAUCUUGAAGUUCUCCAUCUUGAGGGAGACGUAGAGCUGGCCCUCGCGGCCGCCAUGGCAGCUGCCGGAAUUCUUCGAUGCGCUCGUACCCAUCGCAGGAACGCCUUCGGCUCGGGGGAGGGAGAGAUAGGGCGGCGAAGGGUUUGGGUGGAGGAGAUUAGGAUAUAGGAGGAGAGGAGCGGGCGCGACGGACGAAAAGAAGUGGAGAAGCGGCAGGGGGGAGAUCGUGAACCAGACGGCGUUGUCAUCUACUGGAUCGGUUGAGUCGGGCCCACCGAAGGGAACGGGAGAAGCGUGAGGGCCAUUUGGGCGUCGCACUGGGCGCGUGCCUAGAUAUUAUUUAUCUGCGAGUGAGCAAUCUAGUCAGAGUCACCUGCGAACGCAUUUAAUUUUGAACGGUAGAUAUGAGAAGCACAUGCAGAUCCCACGGCUCCUAUGAGACAUAGAUAAAGAAGGAAACCGCGCAAGAAAGCAGGUGGCCAGCGGUCCGACGUGUUAGGUCGCAUGCGCUUGUGACAUAAACCAGCGCAAGAGGACAGUUGUAAUAACAAUGUCUAGUCACCGGUCCUUUUUUUUAUUUAGUACGAUAUUAGCAGCCCUACGACAAAUAAUUUUGUGAAUUUUGUAUUUACUUUUAAUACUUAACUUAGUUUAAUAGGUGAAGUGUUAAUAGAAUGUCAAAAAUAGUAAUAUUGUAAAUAAAAAAAAAAGAGCACACCUAAGAAUAUAUUUUAUAAUUCCACUUUUGGAAUCAUGUUGUUAGUAAAAUCCUAGGAAUGAUGUCAUAUGUGAUCGAAAUACUAAGAACAUAUAAUUAAGGAGGUGUUAGUCACGACAUAACAUAGUGUCGAUCAAGAUGCACAAAGUAUCGAUAAAGUAUCAGUUACAUGAUAACGAGGUAUCGACUAUAUCAUUUUUUUUUUAUCAAAUUUAUUUUUUAAAAUCUUAAAUUAUUUUAAAUUUUAAUAUAAUCCUUAAUAUAUUUAUUUUUAAAAUAAUCAAUAAUCAUAAUUAGAAGUUAUUAAUUAGAAUUUAUUAGAUGAAUUCUAAAGGAAGUAUGUUCUAAAUAUCUAGAGGGAUAUAAUUGUUUCCAAACUUUUAUAUAUAUAUAUAUAUAUAUAUAAUAGGAAAGAGAAUUAAAAAUAAAAUACAUAAAAAUGACUCAUCAUGACCAAUAUUUUAUCAAUAAUAAUGGGGAUAUAUAUUCUAGAAUUUAUCAAAUAUUAUAAUAUUAAAAAAGUUAUAGUCAAAUUUUUUUCAUUAAGGAAUCAACUAAUGACUUGUUAGUAAACCUGAAUCAGUCUUUAUAUACUAGAAUGCACUAAUUGUAUAUUGUAAUGAAGUCUAAAUAUUAUUAAUAAUUAUUAUAAAAUUGAGUUUAUUGUAUUUUUCUAAUUAAAAUUAUCAAAUUUGAAUUGGGAUAAUAUUUGAUCAAAAUUUGAGUUUGAACAAAACAAAAAAAAAGGAAUACAUGUGAUAGUACACAGCACAUAUAGGGAGGAAGAGAGGAAGAUCACUCGGUGGCUGGUGCUUUAGAAGCCCAGCAGAUAAAGAGACGGGCGUCGAUGUCUAUCCCCCUCAUGAUUCAUGCAUAGUGAUAAGCUCUAUAAAUAAACUCAGUUACAUCAAACGUGUCCGGAGAAUUACGGUACAGUGUGGGAUGCCCCUCUGUGCUAUAUCACCUGAUUCGGAGCAGUCGCAAUGCCGAAAUAGAACCACAUGGUGUAAAUACUUCAAUCUUGUGUCAGAAGAUGGUGUGGAAUGCUUCGAUCUUGUCUUACAGCCGUUCUGAACAUUUUCGAUCAUUAACGUAGUUGUUUUCCCUGGUUGAAGACAACCGAGUCCCUGCCGUUCAUCUGAAGUGUCGUUUAAUUGGCUUCCUUGUUCCGCAAUGCAUGCAUGCAUGCAUGGGAUACAUCUGUCAUCAACCUAUCUUCCAGGUUCGUUUGCUGUCAAUACCUAACAACCUUCUUCUUCCUCCGCAUCUGUGCCUCGUGCUCCGCUCACCGAACCCCUUCUCCCGUGAGAGAGAGAGAGAGAGAGAGAGAGAGAGAGAAAGUACUUAUACUGUAAAAGAUGAACGAUUACGAGGAAGAAAAAAAGCUGAAGCCUUCGUAACUUUGCUGUCGAGGGGGUGUGCGUGCGGAGCACGCAGCGCGGGCUGCAAUCUACUGAUGAAGCUGGGGAUGUCGGAAGGUUCAACGGGUGACGUUGUUUUUGGAAAUCAUGAUUUCCUUCCUAGGAGACAUGGACUGCAUGAACACGCAAGAGCAAGUGUCUUCUUUCCCCGAGUGUGCUCAUCGGAAUCAAAUCCGACUCGGAGUUGACAGACUUAGAAGUUCGUGUAACAUGCGAACUAUCGUCACCGGGUGAACAAUCAAAUCUGGCUCGAAGUUGACAUGUUUAGGAAUUCUUCUAAUCUUCACCAGACGAACCUGAAGAAGUCUGAGACGAUUGAUGAGCCAAAGAUACAUUACAGGUCAAAGGAUAUGAAUCUCGUGCCUCUGCCGUUUCAUCUCGUUGGCCUUUGCCUAAUCUGAAACUUUCCAUGAAGUACGCGAGUGGACUUAUGCAUAUUUGUGGUUCAAAUCUUUGGAGAUGGUUUCAAGUCGACAGAAAUCUUUCGUGGAACACAUGAGAACAUGUAAUGGAGGAAAUUGCAGCACGUAUGAGCUGCAUGCGUUUCAUGUUGCAGGAACACUGAAAUCAACGUCACCACGUCAGAGUAAACCGUGUGCUUAUUAUAUACGUAUCUCGUUUACGGGAUUGCCAGUUUGACUUGUGGGCUCGACCUCUGCCGACCAAAUUCUGUCAUGUGAAUCAUCGAUCAAAUUAAAUGUUUAACAUAUGUAAUUAUAAUUCCUCUAACUCAUGCCAUCAACAGUGUCCAUCGGCGUCAGCUCGUGUUCAACAACGUAACAUAUUAAAUGCAAUGUAUCAUGCCAUUUAAUUAUAUGCCAACCCCACCAGCAUUCUGCUGACCUUUUCCAGUGGAUCUCCAUGCCAGGAAAUGCCACUGUGCGCCAUAAUACCAUUUUCGCAUUCAGAGCGGACCGUGGUUUCCAACCAUGGGAAUAUCUUCGCGUUCUCCUCACACCGCGCAUCCUAAGGAAGCGGUAACCUUUGCGAACGUAGCCGAAAGGGACGGAGAAGCUUUCGAGUAAGGCGGGAAGGUAACGACACUGCGGAGCAAUCAAUUCGGGCCGCAAUCGGACGGCCGAGAUAAUUAAAGAUUGACGCCAAAGUCCAACGAUUGACACCAAAGUCGCCUCUGGUUUUGCCCCCACGGAAUCGCCCACAAAAUAUAAAGACGAUCUAACAAUUAAAGAUAUUUAAGAAAACUGUUUUUUUUUUCUGUCGUAUAAAUAGUCGUCGGUCCUCAAGACGAAGACACGUCAAAGAAGAAGUAAAGCAGCGUAGGAAAGAGAGAUCUUUUCGGCUCUCCCACUCUUUCUCGAUCUCGUUAGCAAUGGAAACCAAGAUCGGGUCGGUGGAUGCGGCGGUGGAGGUCAAGGCGAACGGCGUCGUCGGCAGCCCUCCGGCGGGGCACUGCUACCCCAUCGCUCCAGCGGUUCAGGCUUCGGCGCCGGAGAAGACCCUGGGCAGCCACCUGGCGCGGCGCCUCGUCCAGGUGGGCGCUCACGACGUGUUCUCCAUCCCCGGGGACUUCAACCUCACCCUCCUCGACCACCUCAUCGCCGAGCCCGGCCUCCGCCUCAUCGGAUGCUGCAACGAGCUCAACGCCGGGUACGCCGCCGAUGGCUACGCCCGCGCCCGCGGUGUCGGCGCUUGCGUCGUCACCUUCACCGUGGGAGGCCUCAGCGUGCUCAACGCCAUCGCGGGGGCCUAUAGCGAGAACCUCCCCGUCAUCUGCAUCGUCGGCGGCCCCAACUCCAACGACUUCGGGACGAACCGGAUUCUCCAUCACACCAUCGGCCUUCCGGACUUCUCGCAGGAGCUCCGCUGCUUCCAGACCGUCACUUGCUACCAGGUAAUGAACAUUUACUCUCAUCUCUCCGCGAAGAACAGAGGAAAAAGGCAAA